Molecule: ribosomal RNA, 481 nt
Filed under: uncultured bacterium
Lineage: Bacteria
Description: partial 16S ribosomal RNA
Rfam family: Bacterial small subunit ribosomal RNA
Source: RNAcentral
GAUGAACGCUGGCGGCGUGCCUAACACAUGCAAGUCGAGCGAAGCACUUACUUUAGAUUUCUUCGGGAUGACGAGGUUUGUGACUGAGCGGCGGACGGGUGAGUAACGCGUGGGCAACCUGCCCUGUACAGGGGGAUAACAGUUAGAAAUGACUGCUAAUACCGCAUAAGCCCACAGCUUCGCAUGAAGCAGUGGGAAAAACUCCGGUGGUACAGGAUGGGCCCGCGUCUGAUUAGCUAGUUGGUAAGGUAACGGCUUACCAAGGCGACGAUCAGUAGCCGACCUGAGAGGGUGACCGGCCACAUUGGGACUGAGACACGGCCCAAACUCCUACGGGAGGCAGCAGUGGGGAAUAUUGCACAAUGGGGGAAACCCUGAUGCAGCGACGCCGCGUGAGCGAUGAAGUAUUUCGGUAUGUAAAGCUCUAUCAGCAGGGAAGAAAGUGACGGUACCUGACUAAGAAGCCCCGGCUAACUACGUG